AAGGUGGACCGGUGGGGGGUUGGUUCCGACGGUUGGCGGUGGCGACUUUGGACGCCUGCUGGGCCCUCCUCGUGGAUUUCCCCAGCUACGUUCGCGCGGGUUGCCUCGGCCGGCACCUAGCAGUUGACUUAGAACUGGUGCGGACCAGGGGAAUCUGACUGUUUAAUUAAAACAAAGCAUCGCGAAGGCGCAAGGUGGGUGUUGAUGCGAUAUGAUUUCUGCCCAGUGUUCUGAAUGUCAAAGUGAAGAAAUAUGGGGCUUUCGGUCAAGCAUGAAAAUGUGAGGGUGGUUACACCAGACUCAAUG
Molecule: non-coding RNA, 306 nt
Filed under: Salmo salar (Atlantic salmon)
Lineage: Eukaryota; Metazoa; Chordata; Actinopteri; Salmoniformes; Salmonidae
Description: Eukaryotic large subunit ribosomal RNA
Rfam family: Eukaryotic large subunit ribosomal RNA
Source: Rfam by way of RNAcentral